Molecule: long non-coding RNA, 496 nt
Filed under: Homo sapiens (human)
Lineage: Eukaryota; Metazoa; Chordata; Mammalia; Primates; Hominidae
Description: non-protein coding lnc-ERV3-1-2:4
Source: RNAcentral
UGUGAUGUGAGAGAACUACAGAAACCUGGUUUUCUUGGGUGAAGUAUUGCUGUCUCUAAGCCAGACCUGAUUACCUGUCUGGAGCAAGGAAAAGAGCCCUGGAAUAUGAAGAGACAUGAGAUGGUAGCUAAACAUUUAUUAUGUUUUAUUAUUUUGCCCAACACCUUUGGCCAGAGCAGAACAUAAGAGAUUCUUUCCAGAAAGUGACCCUAAGAAGAUAUAGAAAAUGUGGAUAUGAGAAUUUACAGUUAAGAAAAGGCUGUAAAAGUGUGGUUGAGUGUAAACAGCACAAAGGAGAUUAUAGUGGACUUAACCAAUGUUUGAAAACUACCUUGAGCAAAAUAUUUCAAUGUAAUAAAUAUGUAGAAGUUUUCCAUAAAAUUUCAAAUUCAAAUAGACACAAGAUGAGACAUACUGAAAAUAAACAUUUUAAAUGUAAAGAAUGUCGCAAAACAUUUUGCAUGCUUUCACACCUAACUCAACAUAAAAGAAUCCA